AGAAUCAACGCUGGCGGCGUGCCUAACACAUGCAAGUCGCACGAGAAAGGGACUUCGGUCCUGAGUACAGUGGCGCACGGGUGAGUAACACGCGAAUCAUCUACCUCCGAGUGGGGAAUAACUGAGAGAAAUCUUAGCUAAUACCGCAUAACACUUACGAGUCAAAGCAGCAAUGCGCUUGGAGAGGAGUUCGCGGCAGAUUAGUUAGUUGGCGGGGUAAUGGCCCACCAAGACGAUGAUCUGUA
Molecule: ribosomal RNA, 245 nt
Filed under: uncultured bacterium
Lineage: Bacteria
Description: partial small subunit ribosomal RNA
Rfam family: Bacterial small subunit ribosomal RNA
Source: RNAcentral